CCUACGGGCGGCAGCAGUGAGGAAUAUUGGUCAAUGGCCGAGAGGCUGAACCAGCCAAGUUGCGUGAGGGAAGACGGCCCUACGGGGUGUAAACCUCUUUUGUCGGGGAGCAAAGAGAGUCACUUUUGACUCAUUGAGAGUACCCGAAGAAAAAGCAUCGGCUAACUCCGUGCCAGCAGCCGCGUUAAUACGGAGGAUGCGAGCGUUAUCCGGAUUUAUUGGGUUUAAGGGGUGAUCAGGCGGAGGUGCAAGUCAGCGGUAAAAUUGCGGGGCUCAACCCCGUACUGCCGUUGAAACUGCAUCCCUUGAGUGCGCGAGAAGUAUGAGGAAUGCGUGGUGUAGCGGUGAAAUGCAUAGAUAUCACGCAGAACUCCGAUUGCGAAGGCAGCAUACCGGCGCGCAACUGACGCUCAUGCACGAAAGCGUGGGUAUCGAACAGGAUUAGAUACCCGUGUAGUC
Molecule: ribosomal RNA, 459 nt
Filed under: uncultured bacterium
Lineage: Bacteria
Description: partial 16S ribosomal RNA
Rfam family: Bacterial small subunit ribosomal RNA
Source: RNAcentral